Molecule: unclassified non-coding RNA, 336 nt
Filed under: soil metagenome
Description: partial contains 5.8S ribosomal RNA, internal transcribed spacer 2, and large subunit ribosomal RNA
Rfam family: 5.8S ribosomal RNA (bases 1-120)
Source: RNAcentral
GAUGAAGAACGGAGCGAAAUGCGAUAAGUAAUGUGAAUUGCAGAAUUCAGUGAAUCAUCGAAUCUUUGAACGCACAUUGCGCCCGCCAGUAUUCUGGCGGGCAUGCCUGUUCGAGCGUCAUUUCAACCAUCAAGCCCCAGGCUUGUGUUGGGGACCUGCGGCUGCCGCAGGCCCUGAAAACCAGUGGCGGGCUCGCUAGUCACACCGAGCGUAGUAGCAUACACAUCGCUCAGGGCGUGCUGCGGGUUCCGGCCGUUAAACCCCUUUUUUACCCAAGGUUGACCUCGGAUCAGGUAGGAAGACCCGCUGAACUUAAGCAUAUCAAUAAGCGGAGGA